Non-coding RNA from Petromyzon marinus (sea lamprey), 224 nucleotides. The record is from RefSeq and is a predicted model, not a curated record. NCBI's taxonomy places the organism in Eukaryota, Metazoa, Chordata, Hyperoartia, Petromyzontiformes, Petromyzontidae.
AAGGUUUAAAAAGGCGUGUAGCCUCAGUGUCAGCAGGAAAAGGGGGUUAGCCUCUAAAGGUUUAAAAAGGCGUGUAGCCUCAGUGUCAGCAGGAAAAGGGGGUUAGCCUCUAAAGGUUUAAAAAGGCGUGUAGCCUCAGUGUCAGCAGGAAAAGGGGGUUAGCCUCUAAAGGCAAACUGUUUAUAAAGGUUUAAAAAGGCGUGUAGCCUCAGUGUCAGCAGGAA